AGAGCGAACGCUGGCGGCAGGCCUAAUACAUGCAAGUCGAGCGGCCACUUCGGUGGCAGCGGCGGACGGGUGAGUAACGCGUGGGAAUGUGCCCUUUGGUACGGAACAACUGAGGGAAACUUCAGCUAAUACCGUAUGUGCCCUUCGGGGGAAAGAUUUAUUGCCAUUGGAGCAGCCCGCGUUGGAUUAGCUAGUUGGUGGGGUAAAGGCCCACCAAGGCGACGAUCCAUAGCUGGUCUGAGAGGAUGAUCAGUCACACUGGAACUGAGACACGGUCCAGACUCCACGGAGGCAGCAGUGGGGAAUAUUGGACAAGUGGGCGAAAGCCUGAAUCCAGCCAUGCCGCGUGUG
This 351-nucleotide ribosomal RNA is filed under the name uncultured soil bacterium. RNAcentral describes it as "bacterial SSU rRNA". It matches the Rfam family "Bacterial small subunit ribosomal RNA", at positions 26 to 405 of the family's 1533-position model. The record is from RNAcentral.